CCUACGGGUGGCAGCAGUGGGGAAUAUUGGACAAUGGGGGGAACCCUGAUCCAGCCAUGCCGCGUGUGUGAAGAAGGCCCUCGGGUUGUAAAGCACUUUCAGUGAGGAAGAACGCCUGGUGGUUAAUACCCAUCAGGAAAGACAUCACUCACAGAAGAAGCACCGGCUAACUCCGUGCCAGCAGCCGCGGUAAUACGGAGGGUGCGAGCGUUAAUCGGAAUUACUGGGCGUAAGGCGCGCGUAGGUGGCUUGAUAAGCCGGUUGUGAAAGCCCCGGGCUCAACCUGGGAACGGCAUCCGGAACUGUCAAGCUAGAGUGCAGGAGAGGAAGGUAGAAUUCCCGGUGUAGCGGUGAAAUGCGUAGAGAUCGGGAGGAAUACCAGUGGCGAAGGCGGCCUUCUGGACUGACACUGACACUGAGGUGCGAAAGCGUGGGUAGCAAACAGGAUUAGAUACCCUGGUAGUC
Molecule: ribosomal RNA, 465 nt
Filed under: Vreelandella stevensii
Lineage: Bacteria; Pseudomonadati; Pseudomonadota; Gammaproteobacteria; Oceanospirillales; Halomonadaceae
Description: partial 16S ribosomal RNA
Rfam family: Bacterial small subunit ribosomal RNA
Source: RNAcentral